This is a small nuclear RNA of Camelus dromedarius (Arabian camel), 163 nucleotides long. Its record names the gene U1. It matches the Rfam family "U1 spliceosomal RNA". Rfam says of the family: U1 is a small nuclear RNA (snRNA) component of the spliceosome (involved in pre-mRNA splicing). Its 5' end forms complementary base pairs with the 5' splice junction, thus defining the 5' donor site of an intron. NCBI's taxonomy places the organism in Eukaryota, Metazoa, Chordata, Mammalia, Artiodactyla, Camelidae. The record is from Ensembl.
AUACUUACCUGGCAGGGGAGAUACGAUGAUCAUGAAGAUGGUUUUCCCAGGGAGACGCUCAUCCAUUGCACUCCAGGUGUUCUGAGCCCUGUGAUUUCCAAAAAUGUGGAAGACUCAACUGUGUAUUUGUGGUAGUGGGGGACUGUGUUUGCGCUUCCCCUAA